Sinocyclocheilus grahami is the source of this 275-nucleotide long non-coding RNA. RefSeq lists it as uncharacterized. Lineage: Eukaryota; Metazoa; Chordata; Actinopteri; Cypriniformes; Cyprinidae. The record is from RefSeq and is a predicted model, not a curated record. The transcript is spliced from 3 exons.
AGACAGAGAAGAUCAGUCCAUCCUGUGCACAGGGGAAUCUGGUGCAGGAAAGACGGAGAACACAAAAAAAGUGAUUCAGUAUCUGGCACAUGUGGCGUCCUCACACAAGUCUGGCACUCUGGGUCGUCCCAAAGACAGCGCCCUACAGAUGGAUGGUACGCGCUCUCUGGGUCGUGGCAGUAGCGCUGUGAACAGGGUGAGUGGGGGCUUUUCUCUUCAUGACUGACACGUCCGGCUAAUAGGAAGGAGUUCAGACUACAGCCGUUCUAAUUCAU